CGCGUAGGUGGUAGUGCAAGUCUGGGGUGGAAUCCUAUGGCUUAACCAUAGAAUUGCCUUGGAAACUGUAUUACUUGAGUCAGUGAGGGGAGGGUAGAAUUCCUGGUGUAGCGGUGAAAUGCGUAGAUAUCAGGAGGAAGGCCUGUGGCGAAGGCGGCCCUCUGGCGCUGAACUGACACUGAGGCGCGAAAGCGUGGGGAGCAAACAGGAUUAGAUACCCUGGUAGUCCACGCCCUAAACGGUGGGCACUAGGUGUAGGGCUCGUAAGGGUUCUGUGCCGAAGCGAAAGCAUUAAGUGCCCCGCCUGGGGAUACGGCCGCAAGGUUGAA
Molecule: ribosomal RNA, 329 nt
Filed under: uncultured bacterium
Lineage: Bacteria
Description: bacterial SSU rRNA
Rfam family: Bacterial small subunit ribosomal RNA
Source: RNAcentral